GACGAACGCUGGCGGCGUGCUUAACACAUGCAAGUCGAACGGUGAAGCGCCUUCCUUUUUGGUGGGUGUGGAUGAGUGGCGAACGGGUGAGUAACACGUGAGUAACCUGCCCCCUUCUUCUGGAUAACCGCAUGAAAGUGUGGCUAAUACGGGAUAUUCUGGGUCUGUCGCAUGAUGGGUCUGGGAAAGAUAUUGUUUCGGUGGGGGAUGGGCUCGCAGCCUAUCAGCUUGUUGGUGGGGUGAUGGCCUACCAAGGCGGUGACGGGUAGUCGGCCUGAGAGGGUGGACGGUCACACUGGGACUGAGACACGGCCCAGACUCCUACGGGAGGCAGCAGUGGGGAAUAUUGCACAAUGGGCGCAAGCCUGAUGCAGCGACGCCGCGUGAGGGAUGGAGGCCUUCGGGUUGUGAACCUCUUUCGCCAGUGAAGCAGGCCUGCCUCGUUUGUGGGUGGGUUGACGGUAGCUGGAUAAGAAGCGCCGGCUAACUACGUG
This 494-nucleotide ribosomal RNA is filed under the name uncultured bacterium. RNAcentral's name for it is "partial 16S ribosomal RNA". It matches the Rfam family "Bacterial small subunit ribosomal RNA", at positions 28 to 507 of the family's 1533-position model. The record is from RNAcentral.